GCCGGUGUGGCGGAAUUGGCAGACGCGCACGACUCAAAAUUGUGUUCCUUCUGGAGUGUCGGUUCGGCCCCGACCACCGGUA
Molecule: transfer RNA, 82 nt
Filed under: Bacillus subtilis subsp. subtilis str. BAB-1
Lineage: Bacteria; Bacillati; Bacillota; Bacilli; Caryophanales; Bacillaceae
Description: tRNA-Leu (CAA) (tRNA-Leu-CAA-1-1)
Source: RNAcentral